RNAcentral lists this ribosomal RNA (700 nucleotides) under Streptomyces sp. A19MGC. Its description in RNAcentral is "bacterial SSU rRNA". It matches the Rfam family "Bacterial small subunit ribosomal RNA", at positions 112 to 826 of the family's 1533-position model. The record is from RNAcentral. Lineage: Bacteria; Bacillati; Actinomycetota; Actinomycetes; Kitasatosporales; Streptomycetaceae.
AACACGUGGGCAAUCUGCCCUUCACUCUGGGACAAGCCCUGGAAACGGGGUCUAAUACCGGAUACCACUCCUGCCUGCAUGGGCGGGGGUUGAAAGCUCCGGCGGUGAAGGAUGAGCCCGCGGCCUAUCAGCUUGUUGGUGGGGUAAUGGCCCACCAAGGCGACGACGGGUAGCCGGCCUGAGAGGGCGACCGGCCACACUGGGACUGAGACACGGCCCAGACUCCUACGGGAGGCAGCAGUGGGGAAUAUUGCACAAUGGGCGAAAGCCUGAUGCAGCGACGCCGCGUGAGGGAUGACGGCCUUCGGGUUGUAAACCUCUUUCAGCAGGGAAGAAGCGAAAGUGACGGUACCUGCAGAAGAAGCGCCGGCUAACUACGUGCCAGCAGCCGCGGUAAUACGUAGGGCGCAAGCGUUGUCCGGAAUUAUUGGGCGUAAAGAGCUCGUAGGCGGCUUGUCACGUCGGAUGUGAAAGCCCGAGGCUUAACCUCGGGUCUGCAUUCGAUACGGGCUAGCUAGAGUGUGGUAGGGGAGAUCGGAAUUCCUGGUGUAGCGGUGAAAUGCGCAGAUAUCAGGAGGAACACCGGUGGCGAAGGCGGAUCUCUGGGCCAUUACUGACGCUGAGGAGCGAAAGCGUGGGGAGCGAACAGGAUUAGAUACCCUGGUAGUCCACGCCGUAAACGUUGGGAACUAGGUGUUGG